UCUGGGCAUGGUGGUGCAUGCCUGUAGUCCCAGCUACUUGGGAGGCUGAGGCAGGAGAAUCGCUGGAGCCCAGGAGUUUGAGGCUGCAGUGAGUCAUGAUUGCACCACUGCACUCCAGCCUGGGUGACAGAGUGAGACCCUGUCUCUU
Pan troglodytes (chimpanzee) is the source of this 148-nucleotide non-coding RNA. It matches the Rfam family "Metazoan signal recognition particle RNA". Rfam says of the family: The signal recognition particle (SRP) is a universally conserved ribonucleoprotein. It is involved in the co-translational targeting of proteins to membranes. The record is from Rfam. Lineage: Eukaryota; Metazoa; Chordata; Mammalia; Primates; Hominidae.